GUUAUAGGUGUUGGCGUUUGCACUGUCACUGAUGUCAAGGUUAAUGCCAAAGGUUUUAUUUGUGCCUGUGUAGCUGUUCUGUCUACGUCUUUGCAGCAAAUUACUAUAGGUUCCUUACAGAAGAAGUACUCAAUUGGAUCAUUUGAACUGUUAAGUAGAACAGCUCCAAUUCAAGCCCUUUCUCUUCUUAUUGUUGGUCCAUUUGUUGACUACUACCUCAAUGGAAAAUUUAUAACAACAUAUAAGAUGUCUACCGGUGCCAUUUUAUUUAUAAUUCUUUCAUGUUCCCUAGCUGUGUUCUGCAAUGUGAGUCAGUACCUCUGUAUUGGAAGAUUCUCAGCAGUUUCCUUCCAGGUUUUAGGUCACAUGAAAACAGUUUGUGUUCUCACACUGGGAUGGCUGCUCUUUGAUUCUGCGUUGACUUUUAAGAAUAUAAUGGGGAUGGUUAUUGCAGUAGCUGGCAUGGUUGUUUAUAGUUGGGCUGUAGAGGCUGAAAAGAGUGCAAGUGCCAAGGCCAUACCCCCUAUGAAGAACAGUCUGACGGAAGAGGAAAUCAGACUUCUGAAGGAGGGAGUCCAAAGCGCUCCUGUGAAGGAUGUUGAACUUGGUGAGUCUAAGGGAUAGGUGGUACUUGGCUGGAUAUUGGAUAUUUGUUCUCAAUUCAGUUUAGUAUAACUUGCAUAUUUAUGUGGCUGCAAGACAGUCAUUGGCUGACCCC
RNAcentral lists this unclassified non-coding RNA (718 nucleotides) under Hevea brasiliensis (rubber tree). The record is from RNAcentral. Lineage: Eukaryota; Viridiplantae; Streptophyta; Magnoliopsida; Malpighiales; Euphorbiaceae.